GACGAACGCUGGCGGCGUGCUUAACACAUGCAAGUCGAACGGUGAAGCGCCUUCCUUUUUGGUGGGUGUGGAUGAGUGGCGAACGGGUGAGUAACACGUGAGUAACCUGCCCCCUUCUUCUGGAUAACCGCAUGAAAGUGUGGCUAAUACGGGAUAUUCUGGGUCUGUCGCAUGAUGGGUCUGGGAAAGAUAUUGUUUCGGUGGGGGAUGGGCUCGCGGCCUAUCAGCUUGUUGGUGGGGUGAUGGCCUACCAAGGCGGUGACGGGUAGCCGGCCUGAGAGGGUGGACGGUCACAAUGGGACUGAGACACGGACCAGACUCCUACGGGAGGCAGCAGUGGGGAAUAGUGCACAAUGGGCGCAAGCCUGAUGCAGCGACGCCGCGUGAGGGAUGGAGGCCUUCGGGUUGUGAACCUCUUUCGCCAGUGAAGCAGGCCUGCCUCGUUUGUGGGUGGGUUGACGGUAGCUGGAUAAGAAGCGCCGGCUAACUACGUG
RNAcentral lists this ribosomal RNA (494 nucleotides) under uncultured bacterium. RNAcentral's name for it is "partial 16S ribosomal RNA". It matches the Rfam family "Bacterial small subunit ribosomal RNA", at positions 28 to 507 of the family's 1533-position model. The record is from RNAcentral.